This 134-nucleotide ribosomal RNA is filed under the name Bacillota bacterium. RNAcentral describes it as "Firmicutes bacterium (anaerobic digester metagenome) partial 16S ribosomal RNA". It matches the Rfam family "Bacterial small subunit ribosomal RNA", at positions 1 to 121 of the family's 1533-position model. Lineage: Bacteria; Bacillati; Bacillota. The record is from RNAcentral.
UUAUCGGAGAGUUUGAUCCUGGCUCAGGACGAACGCUGGCGGCAUGCCUCAUACAUGCAAGUCGAGCGGGCUGGAAACGAGAGACUUCGGUCUCAUGUUUUCGGAUAGCGGCGGACGGGUGAGUAACGCGUGGG